RNAcentral lists this ribosomal RNA (468 nucleotides) under uncultured bacterium. Its description in RNAcentral is "partial 16S ribosomal RNA". It matches the Rfam family "Bacterial small subunit ribosomal RNA", at positions 28 to 523 of the family's 1533-position model. The record is from RNAcentral.
GAUGAACGCUGGCGGCAUGCCUAACACAUGCAAGUCGAGCGAUUCUCUUCGGAGAAGAGCGGCGGACGGGUGAGUAACGCGUGGGUAACCUGCCCUGUACACACGGAUAACAUACCGAAAGGUAUGCUAAUACGAGAUAAUAUGCUUUUAUCGCAUGGUAGAAGUAUCAAAGCUCCGGCGGUACAGGAUGGACCCGCGUCUGAUUAGCUAGUUGGUAAGGUAACGGCUUACCAAGGCGACGAUCAGUAGCCGACCUGAAAGGGUGAUCGGCCACAUUGGAACUGAGACACGGUCCAAACUCCUACGGGAGGCAGCAGUGGGGAAUAUUGCACAAUGGGCGAAAGCCUGAUGCAGCAACGCCGCGUGAGCGGUGAAGGCCUUCGGGUCGUAAAGCUCUGUCCUCAAGGAAGAUAAUGACGGUACUUGAGGAGGAAGCCCCGGCUAACUACGUGCCAGCCGCCGCGGUAA